This 1343-nucleotide ribosomal RNA is filed under the name uncultured bacterium. RNAcentral describes it as "16S ribosomal RNA". It matches the Rfam family "Bacterial small subunit ribosomal RNA", at positions 28 to 1378 of the family's 1533-position model. The record is from RNAcentral.
GACGAACGCUGGCGGCGUGCUUAACACAUGCAAGUCGAACGGAAAGGCCCUGCUUUUGUGGGGUGCUCGAGUGGCGAACGGGUGAGUAACACGUGAGUAACCUGCCCUUGACUUUGGGAUAACUUCAGGAAACUGGGACUAAUACCGGAUAGGAGCUCCUGCUGCAUGGUGGGGGUUGGAAAGUUUCGGCGGUUGGGGAUGGACUCGCGGCUUAUCAGCUUGUUGGUGGGGUAGUGGCUUACCAAGGCUUUGACGGGUAGCCGGCCUGAGAGGGUGACCGGCCACAUUGGGACUGAGAUACGGCCCAGACUCCUACGGGAGGCAGCAGUGGGGAAUAUUGCACAAUGGGCGGAAGCCUGAUGCAGCAACGCCGCGUGCGGGAUGACGGCCUUCGGGUUGUAAACCGCUUUCGCCUGUGACGAAGCGUGAGUGACGGUAAUGGGUAAAGAAGCACCGGCUAACUACGUGCCAGCAGCCGCGGUGAUACGUAGGGUGCGAGCGUUGUCCGGAUUUAUUGGGCGUAAAGGGCUCGUAGGUGGUUGAUCGCGUCGGAAGUGUAAUCUUGGGGCUUAACCCUGAGCGUGCUUUCGAUACGGGUUGACUUGAGGAAGGUAGGGGAGAAUGGAAUUCCUGGUGGAGCGGUGGAAUGCGCAGAUAUCAGGAGGAACACCAGUGGCGAAGGCGGUUCUCUGGGCCUUUCCUGACGCUGAGGAGCGAAAGCGUGGGGAGCGAACAGGCUUAGAUACCCUGGUAGUCCACGCUGUAAACGGUGGGUACUAGGUGUGGGGUCCAUUCCACGGGUUCCGUGCCGUAGCUAACGCUUUAAGUACCCCGCCUGGGGAGUACGGCCGCAAGGCUAAAACUCAAAGGAAUUGACAGGGCCCCGCACAAGCGGCGGAGCAUGCGGAUUAAUUCGAUGCAACGCGUAGAACCUUACCUGGGUUUGACAUGGAUCGGGAGUGCUCAGAGAUGGGUGUGCCUCUUUUGGGGUCGGUUCACAGGUGGUGCAUGGCUGUCGUCAACUCGUGUCGUGAGAUGUUGGGUUAAGUCCCGCAACGAGCGCAACCCUUGUUCACUGUUGCCAGCACGUUAUGGUGGGGACUCAGUGGAGACCGCCGGGGUCAACUCGGAGGAAGGUGGGGAUGACGUCAAGUCAUCAUGCCCCUUAUGUCCAGGGCUUCACGCAUGCUACAAUGGCUGGUACAGAGAGUGGCGAGCCUGUGAGGGUGAGCGAAUCUCGGAAAGCCGGUCUCAGUUCGGAUUGGGGUCUGCAACUCGACCUCAUGAAGUCGGAGUCGCUAGUAAUCGCAGAUCAGCAACGCUGCGGUGAAUACGUUCCCGGG